RNAcentral lists this ribosomal RNA (253 nucleotides) under uncultured bacterium. RNAcentral describes it as "partial 16S ribosomal RNA". It matches the Rfam family "Bacterial small subunit ribosomal RNA", at positions 524 to 776 of the family's 1533-position model. The record is from RNAcentral.
UACGUAGGGGGGCAAGCGUUGUCCGGAAUUAUUGGGCGUAAAGCGCGCGCAGGCGGUCAAUUAAGUCUGGUGUAUAAACCAAGGGCUCAACCUUUGGACGCAUUGGAAACUGGUUGACUGGAGUGUAGGAGAGGAAAGUGGAAUUCCACGUGUAGCGGUGAAAUGCGCAGAUAUCAGGAGGAACACCGGUGGCGAAGGCGGCGACCUGGUUCGAUACUGACGCUGAGGCGCGAAAGCGUGGGGAGCAAACAGG